Molecule: ribosomal RNA, 524 nt
Filed under: uncultured bacterium
Lineage: Bacteria
Description: partial 16S ribosomal RNA
Rfam family: Bacterial small subunit ribosomal RNA
Source: RNAcentral
GACGAACGCUGGCGGCGUGCUUAACACAUGCAAGUCGAACGGACAGACAGAGAGCUUGCUCUCUUGAAGUUAGUGGCGAACGGGUGAGUAACGCGUAAUCAACCUGCCCUUCAGAGGGGGAUAACAACGGGAAACCGUUGCUAAUACCGCGUACGAUUCAUGAACGGCAUCGUUUAUGAAUGAAAGGUGGCCUCUAUGUAUAAGCUAUCGCUGAAGGAGGGGAUUGCGUCUGAUUAGCUAGUUGGAGGGGUAACGGCCCACCAAGGCAAUGAUCAGGAGCCGGUCUGAGAGGAUGAACAGCCACAUUGGGACUGAGACACGGCCCAAACUCCUACGUGAGGCAGCAGUGGGGAAUCUUCCGCAAUGGACGAAAGUCUGACGGAGCAACGCCGCGUGAGUGAUGAAGGUCUUCGGAUUGUAAAGCUCUGUUAAUCGGGACGAAAGAGUUCUGCGUGAAUAAUGCAGAAAAGUGACGGUACCGGAAUAGAAAGCCACGGCUAGCUACGUGCCAGCCGCCGCGGUAA